AGGGGGGACGGAGAAGGCUAUGUUGGCCGGGCGACGGUUGUCCCGGUUUAAGCGUGUAGGCUGGUUUUCCAGGCAAAUCCGGAAAAUCAAGGCUGAGGCGUGAUGACGAGGCACUACGGUGCUGAAGCAACAAAUGCCCUGCUUCCAGGAAAAGCCUCUAAGCAUCAGGUAACAUCAAAUCGUACCCCAAACCGACACAGGUGGUCAGGUAGAGAAUACCAAGGCGCUUGAGAGAACUCGGGUGAAGGAACUAGGCAAAAUGGUGCCGUAACUUCGGGAGAAGGCACGCUGAUAUGUAGGUGAAGCGACUUGCUCGUGGAGCUGAAAUCAGUCGAAGAUACCAGCUGGCUGCAACUGUUUAUUAAAAACACAGCACUGUGCAAACACGAAAGUGGACGUAUACGGUGUGACGCCUGCCCGGUGCCGGAAGGUUAAUUGAUGGGGUUAGCGCAAGCGAAGCUCUUGAUCGAAGCCCCGGUAAACGGCGGCCGUAACUAUAACGGUCCUAAGGUAGCGAAAUUCCUUGUCGGGUAAGUUCCGACCUGCACGAAUGGCGUAAUGAUGGCCAGGCUGUCUCCACCCGAGACUCAGUGAAAUUGAACUCGCUGUGAAGAUGCAGUGUACCCGCGGCAAGACGGAAAGACCCCGUGAACCUUUACUAUAGCUUGACACUGAACAUUGAGCCUUGAUGUGUAGGAUAGGUGGGAGGCUUUGAAGUGUGGACGCCAGUCUGCAUGGAGCCGACCUUGAAAUACCACCCUUUAAUGUUUGAUGUUCUAACGUUGACCCGUAAUCCGGGUUGCGGACAGUGUCUGGUGGGUAGUUUGACUGGGGCGGUCUCCUCCUAAAGAGUAACGGAGGAGCACGAAGGUUGGCUAAUCCUGGUCGGACAUCAGGAGGUUAGUGCAAUGGCAUAAGCCAGCUUGACUGCGAGCGUGACGGCGCGAGCAGGUGCGAAAGCAGGUCAUAGUGAUCCGGUGGUUCUGAAUGGAAGGGCCAUCGCUCAACGGAUAAAAGGUACUCCGGGGAUAACAGGCUGAUACCGCCCAAGAGUUCAUAUCGACGGCGGUGUUUGGCACCUCGAUGUCGGCUCAUCACAUCCUGGGGCUGAAGUAGGUCCCAAGGGUAUGGCUGUUCGCCAUUUAAAGUGGUACGCGAGCUGGGUUUAGAACGUCGUGAGACAGUUCGGUCCCUAUCUGCCGUGGGCGCUGGAGAACUGAGGGGGGCUGCUCCUAGUACGAGAGGACCGGAGUGGACGCAUCACUGGUGUUCGGGUUGUCAUGCCAAUGGCACUGCCCGGUAGCUAAAUGCGGAAGAGAUAAGUGCUGAAAGCAUCUAAGCACGAAACUUGCCCCGAGAUGAGUUCUCCCUGACCCUUUAAGGGUCCUGAAGGAACGUUGAAGACGACGACGUUGAUAGGCCGGGUGUGUAAGCGCAGCGAUGCGUUGAGCU
This 1452-nucleotide ribosomal RNA is filed under the name Escherichia coli 3-105-05_S3_C2. RNAcentral's name for it is "bacterial LSU rRNA". It matches the Rfam family "Bacterial large subunit ribosomal RNA", at positions 1465 to 2892 of the family's 2925-position model. The record is from RNAcentral. Lineage: Bacteria; Pseudomonadati; Pseudomonadota; Gammaproteobacteria; Enterobacterales; Enterobacteriaceae.